GUGAAUCAUCGAAUUUUUGAACGCAAAUUGCACUCUCCGGUUUUCCGGGAGGGUAUGCUUGUUUGGGGGUAAGUGGAAAUAAAAACGGUUUAGUAGUUUGUUGUGUUUUUCACGGGAACGUUGGUGGGUAUUUGGGGUGUCUUAAACCGAAAGGUUUUUAAGUGAUUUAAUAGGUUCUUACGA
Molecule: unclassified non-coding RNA, 183 nt
Filed under: Glomus sp.
Lineage: Eukaryota; Fungi; Glomeromycota; Glomeromycetes; Glomerales; Glomeraceae
Description: partial contains 5.8S ribosomal RNA and internal transcribed spacer 2
Rfam family: 5.8S ribosomal RNA (bases 1-72)
Source: RNAcentral